UUUGAUCCUGGCUCAGAUUGAACGCUGGCGGCAUGCCUUACACAUGCAAGUCGAACGGCAGCGCGGGAGCAAUCCUGGCGGCGAGUGGCGAACGGGUGAGUAAUACAUCGGAACGUGCCCAAUCGUGGGGGAUAACGCAGCGAAAGCUGUGCUAAUACCGCAUACGAUCUACGGAUGAAAGCAGGGGAUCGCAAGACCUUGCGCGAAUGGAGCGGCCGAUGGCAGAUUAGGUAGUUGGUGAGGUAAAGGCUCACCAAGCCUUCGAUCUGUAGCUGGUCUGAGAGGACGACCAGCCACACUGGGACUGAGACACGGCCCAGACUCCUACGGGAGGCAGCAGUGGGUAAUUUUGGACAAUGGGCGAAAGCCUGAUCCAGCCAUGCCGCGUGCAGGAUGAAGGCCUUCGGGUUGUAAACUGCUUUUGUACGGAACGAAACGGCCUUUUCUAAUAAAGAGGGCUAAUGACGGUACCGUAAGAAUAAGCACCGGCUAACUACGUGCCAGCAGCCGCGGUAAUACGUAGGGUGCAAGCGUUAAUCGGAAUUACUGGCCGUAAAGCGUGCGCAGGCGGUUAUGUAAGACAGUUGUGAAAUCCCCGGGCUCAACCUGGGAACUGCAUCUGUGACUGCAUAGCUAGAGUACGGUAGAGGGGGAUGGAAUUCCGCGUGUAGCAGUGAAAUGCGUAGAUAUGCGGAGGAACACCGAUGGCGAAGGCAAUCCCCUGGACCUGUACUGACGCUCAUGCACGAAAGCGUGGGGAGCAAACAGGAUUAGAUACCCUGGUAGUCCACGCCCUAAACGAUGUCAACUGGUUGUUGGGCCUUCACUGACUCAGUAACGAAGCUAACGCGUGAAGUUGACCGCCUGGGGAGUACGGCCGCAAGGUUGAAACUCAAAUUGACGGGGACCCGCACAAGCGGUGGAUGAUGUGGUUUAAUUCGAUGCAACGCGAAAAACCUUACCCACCUUUGACAUGUACGGAAUUCGCCAGAGAUGGCUUAGUGCUCGAAAGAGAACCGUAACACAGGUGCUGCAUGGCUGUCGUCAGCUCGUGUCGUGAGAUGUUGGGUUAAGUCCCGCAACGAGCGCAACCCUUGUCAUUAGUUGCUACAUUUAGUUGGGCACUCUAAUGAGACUGCCGGUGACAAACCGGAGGAAGGUGGGGAUGACGUCAAGUCCUCAUGGCCCUUAUAGGUGGGGCUACACACGUCAUACAAUGGCUGGUACAAAGGGUUGCCAACCCGCGAGGGGGAGCUAAUCCCAUAAAACCAGUCGUAGUCCGGAUCGCAGUCUGCAACUCGACUGCGUGAAGUCGGAAUCGCUAGUAAUCGUGGAUCAGAAUGUCACGGUGAAUACGUUCCCGGGUCUUGUACACACCGCCCGUCACACCAUGGGAGCGGGUUCUGCCAGAAGUAGUUAGCUUAACCGCAAGGAGGGCGAUUACCACGGCAGGGUUCGUGACUGGGGUGAAGUCGAAACAAGGUA
RNAcentral lists this ribosomal RNA (1485 nucleotides) under metagenome. RNAcentral's name for it is "bacterial SSU rRNA". It matches the Rfam family "Bacterial small subunit ribosomal RNA". The record is from RNAcentral.